UCCACUCUAUAAAUUCACAAUUUUCAUUUCCUUUUUUUUUUUUCUGAUUUAAUAGCAAUAUUGGAGUUUAAAUCUCACGCAUAUGUAAAGAAACUUGCAUCUAUUUCAAUGUUUGAAGCACUUUAUGCAAGCUGAAACGGAACGCGAUCUAACGGUGAUCAUCUUUCGAAUGUGAUGACACUUCGUGAUAUUUACCACACAAAAAAAAAAAGCGAUAAAUAAAAAAUCAUAUUCAUUCAAAACAUGUUAAAUAAAAAGAUAAAUAUGUACAGAUUAUCUGAAUUAUAAAAAAGAUCAAAUGAAAACGAAGGAAAAGCUGGAUAUCAUGUUACAUGUUACAUGUACAGCAAGAAAAUAAAUAAAAAGAUCCCCCAAAAAAAAAAAAAAAAGCAAAGAAAAUUCAAGCAGAGAAGAAGCCAUUGGAGGCCUCAAGACCAAUCUGGCUCUUGGGCUCCAUAACCCACUUGACAAACUCCAUCUUUUCCUGUCCAAUCUUCUUGUGGAGGGAGUGAGCCAUAACCGAAACGCAGGAAAACAAGUCAGUCUCCAGCUGAUGAUCUCCUUCAGCAGAUCCAGCCUUCCUUGCAUUCUUCACCCUCCUCUCAUACUCUUCAGCUACCAAAAUUGCAAUAUCUGCCAUCUCUCUCUCUCUCUCUCUUUCUCUCUCUUCUGUAACUUGCUUUCAAAAUGGUUUGCUUUCAAAGUGGUUUGCUUUCAAAAUGGUUUUGCACAGACUGAAUUUGAUGGAGA
Molecule: long non-coding RNA, 750 nt
Filed under: Prunus dulcis (almond)
Lineage: Eukaryota; Viridiplantae; Streptophyta; Magnoliopsida; Rosales; Rosaceae
Description: sRNA ncRNA
Source: RNAcentral